GCAAACUUGGUCAUUUAGAGGAAGUAAAAGUCGUAACAAGGUUUCCGUAGGUGAACCUGCGGAAGGAUCAUUAUCGUAUCUCCCCGGGGGGUCUGCGUGCCCCCGCUCCGGUUCCGGCCGUGCAGCGGGUGCCGUGGCCCCUCGGAAAAACCUCGCAAACCCCACUGUGCACCUUUCGCGGCAGAGGGCGCGGCGCGAGCCCCGCCCGAAGCUGCGGUUCUCACACACGCGGUUUUAUCGAAUGUGAAGCGGACGCUGUUCCGCCCAACAACACUUACAACUUUCAACAACGGAUCUCUUGGCUCUCGCAUCGAUGAAGAACGCAGC
Molecule: unclassified non-coding RNA, 327 nt
Filed under: uncultured fungus
Lineage: Eukaryota; Fungi
Description: partial contains small subunit ribosomal RNA, internal transcribed spacer 1, and 5.8S ribosomal RNA
Rfam family: Eukaryotic small subunit ribosomal RNA (bases 1-73)
Source: RNAcentral